GAUGAACGCUGGCGGCGUGCUUAACACAUGCCAGUCGAACGGAAAGGCCCAAGCUUGCUUGGGUACUCGAGUGGCGAACGGGUGAGUAACACGUGGGUGAUCUGCCCUGCACUUCGGGAUAAGCCUGGGAAACUGGGUCUAAUACCGGAUAGGACCACAUUUUGGAUGGUGUGGUGGAAAGUUUUUCGGUGUGGGAUGAGCUCGCGGCCUAUCAGCUUGUUGGUGGGGUAAUGGCCUACCAAGGCGUCGACGGGUAGCCGGCCUGAGAGGGUGUACGGCCACAUUGGGACUGAGAUACGGCCCAGACCCCUACGGGAGGCAGCAGUGGGGAAUAUUGCACAAUGGGCGCAAGCCUGAUGCAGCGACGCCGCGUGGGGGAUGACGGCCUUCGGGUUGUAAACUCCUUUCGCUAGGGACGAAGCGUUAUGUGACGGUACCUGGAGAAGAAGCACCGGCUAACUACGUG
RNAcentral lists this ribosomal RNA (466 nucleotides) under uncultured bacterium. Its description in RNAcentral is "partial 16S ribosomal RNA". It matches the Rfam family "Bacterial small subunit ribosomal RNA", at positions 28 to 507 of the family's 1533-position model. The record is from RNAcentral.